AACUUUUGACAAUGGAUCACUUGGCUCUCCCAUCGAUGAAGAACGCAGCGAACUGCGAUACGUAAUGUGAAUUGCAGAAUUCAGUGAAUCAUCGAAUCUUUGAACGCACCUUGCGCCGCUCGGUUUUCCGAGGGGCACGUCUGUUUGAGUGUCACGUUAAUCUCUCACUUCCCUUUGGGUGGAGUGGAAUUGGACUGUGCUGUCGCUUGCUCGUACGGCUCGUCCCGAAAUGCAUGGUUUGCCUGCAGAGUCUUGCGCGGAGCGGGACCGAUGAAACGGUGUGAUAUUUACUAUCUGCGCUGUACUAGUCGGACUCCAGCCUGCUGCACCAGGAGCGCUCUGGGCUUACAAUGGAGAGGGUGAGGAAUGUCAUUGUCCUGUGCCCCCAUUUAACUCUUUGUAUUUGACCUCAAAUCAGACGGGACUACCCGCUGAAUUUAGGCAUAUCAAUAAGCGGAGGCU
This 462-nucleotide unclassified non-coding RNA is filed under the name uncultured Exidia. Its description in RNAcentral is "sequence contains ITS2". The stretch from base 1 to 154 matches the Rfam family "5.8S ribosomal RNA". The record is from RNAcentral. Lineage: Eukaryota; Fungi; Basidiomycota; Agaricomycetes; Auriculariales; Exidiaceae.